This 501-nucleotide ribosomal RNA is filed under the name uncultured bacterium. RNAcentral's name for it is "bacterial SSU rRNA". It matches the Rfam family "Bacterial small subunit ribosomal RNA", at positions 29 to 507 of the family's 1533-position model. The record is from RNAcentral.
ACGAACGCUGGCGGCGUGCCUAAUACAUGCAAGUCGAGCGGAAUGAUGAAGAAGCUUGCUUCUUCUGAUUUUAGCGGCGGACGGGUGAGUAACACGUGGGCAACCUACCUUGUAGAUUGGGAUAACUCCGGGAAACCGGGGGCUAAUACCGAAUAAUCCAUUUUGCUUCAUGGCGAGAUGUUGAAAGACGGUUUCGGCUGUCACUAUAAGAUGGGCCCGCGGCGCAUUAGCUAGUUGGUAGGGGUAAUGGCCUACCAAGGCGACGAUGCGUAGCCGACCUGAGAGGGUGAUCGGCCACACUGGGACUGAGACACGGCCCAGACUCCUACGGGAGGCAGCAGUAGGGAAUCUUCCACAAUGGACGAAAGUCUGAUGGAGCAACGCCGCGUGAGUGAAGAAGGUUUUCGGAUCGUAAAACUCUGUUGUAAGGGAAGAACACGUACGAGAGUAACUGCUCGUACCUUGACAGUACCUUAUUAGAAAGCCACGGCUAACUACGUG